AUCGCUUCUCGGCCUUUUGGCUCAGAUCAAGUGUAGUAUCUGUUCUUAUCAGUUUAAUAUCUGAUACAUCCCCCAUCGGGGGACUACAUAUUAAAUGGAUUUUUCGAACAGGGAGUCGGAAAUGGGGCUUGCUCCGUCCGCUCCACGCAUCGACCCGGUAUUGCAGUACCUCCGGGAAUGGUGCAACACUU
This 191-nucleotide small nuclear RNA is filed under the name Salmo salar (Atlantic salmon). Its description in RNAcentral is "U2 spliceosomal RNA". It matches the Rfam family "U2 spliceosomal RNA". Rfam says of the family: U2 is a small nuclear RNA (snRNA) component of the spliceosome (involved in pre-mRNA splicing). Complementary binding between U2 snRNA (in an area lying towards the 5' end but 3' to hairpin I) and the branchpoint sequence (BPS) of the intron results the bulging out of an unpaired adenosine, on the BPS, which initiates a nucleophilic attack at the intronic 5' splice site, thus starting the first of two transesterification reactions that mediate splicing. Lineage: Eukaryota; Metazoa; Chordata; Actinopteri; Salmoniformes; Salmonidae. The record is from Rfam by way of RNAcentral.